GCACAAGCCGGCAAGCCAGCUGCAGCAGCAUGCAACGAUUGCAACGGUCAGUGAUGCAGUUUUGUUAACCAGAGGAAAUAGGAUAAUUUUCUGCCCUUCGUGACCAGCUGAAGGCCUCUGAAGUGCACAAUACCAUCGCGACCAUUGCCCACCGAUGCCAUCCGAGUGUGAAUGGCCUGCGUUUGCGUCACGCUGGCCAAACGAAAUCGUAAGAAUUCUCGUCUCGCCCAAGCAAGAUUGAGAAAUCGUGACAUCCCAAAUUAUAUGGAGACGGCCCCGACUUAAAGCCCACUGAGUCCGCUGUUGAGGAACGGUCAAGAAUCAAAAUUGUUCUGAGAUGGCGAGUACGCGCCAGGUCGAAGAAGAAGGAGAAAGAGAAGGAGAAGUAAAAG
Long non-coding RNA from Cloeon dipterum, 392 nucleotides. RefSeq lists it as uncharacterized. The transcript is spliced from 3 exons. NCBI's taxonomy places the organism in Eukaryota, Metazoa, Arthropoda, Insecta, Ephemeroptera, Baetidae. The record is from RefSeq and is a predicted model, not a curated record.